UGGGGAAUAUUGGACAAUGGGCGGAAGCCUGAUCCAGCCAUGCCGCGUGUGUGAAGAAGGCCUUUUGGUUGUAAAGCACUUUAAGCGAGGAGGAGGCUACUUGGAUUAAUACUCUAGGAUAGUGGACGUUACUCGCAGAAUAAGCACCGGCUAACUCUGUGCCAGCAGCCGCGGUAAUACAGAGGGUGCGAGCGUUAAUCGGAUUUACUGGGCGUAAAGCGUGCGUAGGCGGCUUCUUAAGUCGGAUGUGAAAUCCCUGAGCUUAACUUAGGAGUUGCAUUCGAUACUGGGAAGCUAGAGUAUGGGAGAGGAUGGUAGAAUUCCAGGUGUGGCGGUGAAAUGCGUAGAGAUCUGGAGGAAUACCGAUGGCGAGGGCAGGCAUCUGGCCUAAUACUGACGCUGAGGUACGAGAGCAUGGGGAGCGAACAGA
Molecule: ribosomal RNA, 430 nt
Filed under: bacterium
Lineage: Bacteria
Description: partial 16S ribosomal RNA
Rfam family: Bacterial small subunit ribosomal RNA
Source: RNAcentral